AGCAGCCGCGGUAAUUCCAGCUCCAAUAGCGUAUAUUAAAGUUGUUGCAGUUAAAAAGCUCGUAGUUGAAUUUCGGGAUUUGUCGGUUGGUCGGGCUUCACUGUCCGCACUGGCCUGACGGAUUCCUACCUUCUGAAUAACCAGCAUGCUAUUAAGUUAGUGCGUUGGGGAAGCAGAGCUAUUACCUUGAAAAAAUUAGAGUGCUUAAAGCAGGCUUGUGCUUGAAUAGAUUAGCAUGGAAUAAUAAAAUAGGACGGCUUGGUUCUAUUUUGUUGGUUUCUAGGAUCACCGUAAUGAUUAAUAGGGAUAGUUGGGGGCAUUAGUAUUCAAUUGUCAGAGGUGAAAUUCUUGGAUUUAUUGAAGACUAACUUCUGCGAAAGCAUUUGCCAAGGAUGUUUUCAUUAAUCAAGAACGAAAGUUAGGGGAUCGAAGACGAUCAGAUACCGUCGUAGUCUUAACCAUAAACUAUGCCGACUAGGGAUCGGACGAUGUUAAUUUUUUAAUGACUCG
This 510-nucleotide ribosomal RNA is filed under the name uncultured Acaulospora. RNAcentral's name for it is "SSU rRNA". It matches the Rfam family "Eukaryotic small subunit ribosomal RNA", at positions 569 to 1078 of the family's 1831-position model. Lineage: Eukaryota; Fungi; Glomeromycota; Glomeromycetes; Diversisporales; Acaulosporaceae. The record is from RNAcentral.